Molecule: transfer RNA, 65 nt
Filed under: Hierodula membranacea
Lineage: Eukaryota; Metazoa; Arthropoda; Insecta; Mantodea; Mantidae
Also listed under: 1 other name
Description: tRNA-Asp
Source: RNAcentral
AAGAAGUUAGUUAAAUAAUAACAUUAGUAUGUCAUACUAAAAUUAUUAGAAUCUAAUACAUCUUU